UGCAAGUCGAACGGUGAAGCCCAGCUUGCUUGGUGGAUCAGUGGCGAACGGGUGAGUAACACGUGAGCAACCUGCCCUGGACUCUGGGAUAAGCGCUGGAAACGGCGUCUAAUACUGGAUAUGAGACGUGAUCGCAUGGUCGUGUUUGGAAAGAUUUUUCGGUCUGGGAUGGGCUCGCGGCCUAUCAGCUUGUUGGUGAGGUAAUGGCUCACCAAGGCGUCGACGGGUAGCCGGCCUGAGAGGGUGACCGGCCACACUGGGACUGAGACACGGCCCAGACUCCUACGGGAGGCAGCAGUGGGGAAUAUUGCACAAUGGGCGAAAGCCUGAUGCAGCAACGCCGCGUGAGGGAUGACGGCCUUCGGGUUGUAAACCUCUUUUAGCAGGGAAGAAGCGAAAGUGACGGUACCUGC
This 413-nucleotide ribosomal RNA is filed under the name Microbacterium sp. 20R. RNAcentral's name for it is "bacterial SSU rRNA". It matches the Rfam family "Bacterial small subunit ribosomal RNA", at positions 56 to 482 of the family's 1533-position model. The record is from RNAcentral. Lineage: Bacteria; Bacillati; Actinomycetota; Actinomycetes; Micrococcales; Microbacteriaceae.